CAUCUCCGUACAUAGGAAGAAGGCGAGACUCGUGAGAGUGACCGUGUAUAACACCGAGCCUGUAAUCAGAGAAACAGAAAUCUACGUCAGAAUAAUUCGCGGCUGAAGCCGAUAAAGUCACCGGACCACGAUUGAAGAAAGGUCGCGCGCCAUUUUGCACCCGAGAGAGGGAUAGAGCGAGAAACGUACGCGAAGAGGGAAAGAAGGGGACGAGGUCCUUCCGCACUUUCACACUCGGCGUAUAGGUACCUACACGGAUACGUAGGUACCAACCAUUGCACCUACGCAUCAAUUUAACAGCGACCAAUAGUCGCCCCCGCAGUAGGAAAUGGGUUGCAAAUCGGAGAAUCAAGAUUUAUUGUGCAAUUAAAUGUCACUGCUUGUGACUUCCCUCGUGAUUCCCUUCGCACGUUGCAAGCUUACCCCCCAGUGCGUACAGUCUUUCGAAAAUGUUUUCCUACACGUGACUCGCAGCGCUCCACAAUAAAAUAAGUGCAACAAUAAUGUAGCGAAUCUGUUGUAAACGCAAAAUACGAAAAUAUCCAAAAUAAAAGAGAAAGAAGAGAAAAAUAAAA
Ooceraea biroi (clonal raider ant) is the source of this 575-nucleotide long non-coding RNA. RefSeq lists it as uncharacterized. The record is from RefSeq and is a predicted model, not a curated record. NCBI's taxonomy places the organism in Eukaryota, Metazoa, Arthropoda, Insecta, Hymenoptera, Formicidae.